CCUACGGGUGGCAGCAGUGGGGAAUAUUGGGCAAUGGGCGCAAGCCUGACCCAGCAACGCCGCGUGAAGGAAGAAGGCUUUCGGGUUGUAAACUUCUUUUCUCAGGGACGAAGAAAGUGACGGUACCUGAGGAAUAAGCCACCGCUAACUACGUGCCAGCAGCCGCGGUAAUACGUAGGUGGCAAGCGUGAUCCGGAUUGACUGGGUGUAAAGGGCGUGUAGGCGGGGAAGCAAGUCAGAUGUGAAAACCACGGGCGCAGCCUGUGGCGUGCAUUUGAUACUGUUUGACUAGAGUACUGGAGAGGCAGAUGGAAUUCCUGGUGUAGCGGUGGAAUGCGUAGAUAUUAGGAGGAACACCAGUGGCGAAGGCAGUCUUCUGGACAGCAACUGACGCUGAGGCGCGAAAGCGUGGGGAGCGAACAGGAUUAGAUACCCCAGUAGUC
This 443-nucleotide ribosomal RNA is filed under the name uncultured bacterium. RNAcentral's name for it is "partial 16S ribosomal RNA". It matches the Rfam family "Bacterial small subunit ribosomal RNA", at positions 338 to 795 of the family's 1533-position model. The record is from RNAcentral.